Molecule: ribosomal RNA, 472 nt
Filed under: uncultured organism
Description: partial 16S ribosomal RNA
Rfam family: Bacterial small subunit ribosomal RNA
Source: RNAcentral
ACUCCUACGGGAGGCAGCAGUGGGGAAUAUUGCACAAUGGGCGCAAGCCUGAUGCAGCCAUGCCGCGUGUAUGAAGAAGGCCUUCGGGUUGUAAAGUACUUUCAGCGGGGAGGAAGGCGAUAAGGUUAAUAACCUUGUUGAUUGACGUUACCCGCAGAAGAAGCACCGGCUAACUCCGUGCCAGCAGCCGCGGUAAUACGGAGGGUGCAAGCGUUAAUCGGAAUUACUGGGCGUAAAGCGCACGCAGGCGGUCUGUCAAGUCGGAUGUGAAAUCCCCGGGCUCAACCUGGGAACUGCAUUCGAAACUGGCAGGCUAGAGUCUUGUAGAGGGGGGUAGAAUUCCAGGUGUAGCGGUGAAAUGCGUAGAGAUCUGGAGGAAUACCGGUGGCGAAGGCGGCCCCCUGGACAAAGACUGACGCUCAGGUGCGAAAGCGUGGGGAGCAAACAGGAUUAGAAACCCGUGUAGUCCCAU